GCAAAGCGUGUUUCUGGAAUAUUAUGUUUUUGUUCCUGCAAGCGCUUUUUAUGCAAUUUUUGGAAAGCUAUAUGUGGAAGGAAACCGUGAACUAGGACAAGCUGAUGACAGAAGAUUCAGUGUUACACAGGGUCUGAGUGAAAAAGUGUUCAGCUGCUGUGACUUGAAGGCCUACAAUCCGGUCAACGUUAUAUGCUGCCAGUCAACCAUAAUAGCGACACCUGGACCAAAGGCUGAAUGUUGUGGUAAAGCUCAAUCAUGUGGAACUAAUACUUUCAACAAAGAAACACAUCUAUGCUGUCAGUUAACUGUUAUUGCCAAACCUUCACCAAAGCACAGAUGUUGUGAAAAGGGACCACAUGAUGAGUAAAAGAAGCUGUGUUGUGGUCCGAUGAAUGAUAAGAAGAUCCUGAAGAGGAACUCCACAGAUCAUGUGUGCUGUCAUCAUGGCCAGCAGCUAGGCUGACUGCUGCUGUUGGAAGAAUGAUGGUGCUGAGAUACAGCUGAAGAAUUCAUCUUGCUGUGUAGAAGAAUCAGCUGUACUUGAAGAGUGGGAAAACAAUUCUUAUCAGUAAAUUGCAAAGGAUGGGAAAAUAUGCAGGCUCUCACUGGUCGAUAUCACACAGGAUAUGGUGUUUUGGCAAAGGAAUUUUUGCAGCUUCACCCUAGCUGAUGUCAAAGCAAGUCAAAACCCAUAGUGCAUAACCCACAUACAUAUGUGUGCUGUGAUGGAUGUCUAAGUGGAAACCUUUGAUCAAUCAAACUUCUCCCACAACUCCACCCAGUGCUUCCUUCACAAGUUCUCUGAUGACUCUGCAAAGGUCAGCCUGAUCACUGACGGGGAGAACUGACCCAAGACUUUGUGCACUGGUGCCAGCAGAACCACCUGGUAUACUUCCGCAGGCACAAACAUCCUCCACUGCAACCACUAAACAUUUAAGGUAUGGACAUUGAGGCUGUGGACAGCUACA
Oreochromis aureus is the source of this 971-nucleotide long non-coding RNA. The record is from Ensembl. Lineage: Eukaryota; Metazoa; Chordata; Actinopteri; Cichliformes; Cichlidae.